ACUGACCGCUUUCUUUCUUCCUAACACAUGCAAGUCGAACGGCAGCACAGUAAGAGCUUGCUCUUACGGGUGGCGAGUGGCGGACGGGUGAGGAAUACAUCGGAAUCUACUUUUUCGUGGGGGAUAACGUAGGGAAACUUACGCUAAUACCGCAUACGACCUACGGGUGAAAGCAGGGGAUCUUCGGACCUUGCGCGAUUGAAUGAGCCGAUGUCGGAUUAGCUAGUUGGCGGGGUAAAGGCCCACCAAGGCGACGAUCCGUAGCUGGUCUGAGAGGAUGAUCAGCCACACUGGAACUGAGACACGGUCCAGACUCCUACGGGAGGCAGCAGUGGGGAAUAUUGGACAAUGGGCGCAAGCCUGAUCCAGCCAUACCGCGUGGGUGAAGAAGGCCUUCGGGUUGUAAAGCCCUUUUGUUGGGAAAGAAAAGCAGCAGGUUAAUACCCCGCUGUUCUGACGGUACCCAAAGAAUAAGCACCGGCUAACUUCGUG
This 492-nucleotide ribosomal RNA is filed under the name uncultured bacterium. RNAcentral's name for it is "partial 16S ribosomal RNA". It matches the Rfam family "Bacterial small subunit ribosomal RNA", at positions 30 to 507 of the family's 1533-position model. The record is from RNAcentral.